CCGGUUGAUCCUGCCGGAGGCCAUUGCUAUCGGAAUCCGAUUUAGCCAUGCGAGUUGCACGAAUUCAUCUUCGUAGCGAACUGGUCAGUAACACGUGGCCAAUCUACCCUAUGGACUCGGAUAAUCUCGGGAAACUGAGGGUAAUCCGUGAUAGCGCUCCCACGCUUGAAUGGGGGGAGCGUGAAACGCUCCGGCGCCAUAGGAUGGGGCUGCGGCCGAUUANGUAGACGGUGGGGUAACGGCCCACCGUGCCGAUAAUCGGUACGGGUCAUGAGAGUGAGAGCCCGGAGACGGACUCUGAGACAAGAGUCCGGGCCCUACGGGGCGCAGCAGGGGCGAAACCUUUACACUGCACGACAGUGCGAUAGGGGGAUUCCGAGUGCGAGGGCAUACAGUCCUCGCUUUUGGGGACCGGAAGGGGGGACACGAAUAAGGGCUGGGCAAGACCGGUGGCAGCCGCCGCGGUAAUACCGGCAGCUCAAGUGAUGGCCGAUAUUAGUGGGGCUAAAGCGUCCGUAGCUGGGCGGUGCAGGGUCCGUCGGGAAAUCCACUCGCCUAACGAGGGGGGCGUCCGGGCGGAAACCGCACGGCUUGGGACCGAGGGGACANGAGGGGGACGUCUGGGGGGNAGGAGGGAAAUCCUGUAAUCCCUGGACGGA
Molecule: ribosomal RNA, 659 nt
Filed under: uncultured Halobacteriales archaeon
Lineage: Archaea; Methanobacteriati; Methanobacteriota; Halobacteria; Halobacteriales
Description: bacterial SSU rRNA
Rfam family: Archaeal small subunit ribosomal RNA
Source: RNAcentral